This 321-nucleotide ribosomal RNA is filed under the name uncultured eukaryote. RNAcentral's name for it is "partial 18S ribosomal RNA". It matches the Rfam family "Eukaryotic small subunit ribosomal RNA", at positions 1470 to 1796 of the family's 1831-position model. The record is from RNAcentral.
CCCUUAGAUGUCCUGGGCCGCACGCGCGCUACACUGACAUGUUCAACAAGCCUCCUAGUUCGACAGGAUUUGGGAAAUCUUUGAACGCAUGUCGUGAUAGGGAUAGAUCAUUGCAAUUAUUGACCUUGAACGAGGAAUUCCUAGUAAACGCGAGUCAUCAGCUCGCAUUGAUUACGUCCCUGCCCUUUGUACACACCGCCCGUCGCACCUACCGAUUGAAUGUUUCGGUGAAGAUUCCGGAUAGGACUUUUUUGAUUUAUUUCAAUUCUGUCUUAAAAGCUAUCUAAACCUCAACAUUUAGAGGAAGGUGAAGUCGUAACA